RNAcentral lists this long non-coding RNA (591 nucleotides) under Portunus trituberculatus (swimming crab). Its description in RNAcentral is "uncharacterized LOC123514056, transcript variant X1". Lineage: Eukaryota; Metazoa; Arthropoda; Malacostraca; Decapoda; Portunidae. The record is from RNAcentral.
AGAAGGACCAGCAGCCUCAUUCUGUAAGUUGGGAGUCCCACCAAUGCACACACACACCUCCUAUAUGUGAGGGGCUGUGACUACAUCAGCUGGCCUGGGUUCACUGUCUGGCGCCUUAUAAACAUUAAGCAGUGAAGGGCGCAUGGAGAACUGAGACACCAAUCCUCGGAAUAUGGCGUCACCAGCAGAAGACCACCACCUCACCCACCUAAGAUUCACGUGCCCAGCCACCGCCCACCACACGAGUUUUCACCGAGCCACAGUGGUGCUAUACAAACUUCGGGAGAAUCAAAAGGGUGGACUUGGAGUGGUGCACGUGACGCUUCGAUCUAACAACCCCACUGAUAUGCAGUGUACUACAGUAAGUGAACUCCUCAUCGGGACGCAGCGCCAGGUCUGUCUCCUGUAUGACGCACUGCCUAACAUUGCCCGCGCUAUGGAAAUUUAUUGAGUUGUGAUGUCGCAACGAGGUCAUAUGGUGCCGGAUGAAGGAAAGUGUCGUGAAUCAGGAUGGAAUUCGCAGCAUUUCCAUCGUGCACAACGGCCAUUAUCGAUGCCAUACUAGCAACAAUAAUAAAUAAUGAAUGAAUA